This 1070-nucleotide long non-coding RNA is filed under the name Anser cygnoides (Swan goose). Its description in RNAcentral is "lncRNA (ENSACDG00005016277.1)". The record is from RNAcentral. Lineage: Eukaryota; Metazoa; Chordata; Aves; Anseriformes; Anatidae.
UUUUCUUCCUUAAGGUACAGUAUUUCUUGAGAUGAACAAAAUAUUUAUUCAAAUGUUUUAAGUGUGGUCUCCCAGGCAAACAACAGAUAUGAUGUCAAAUAUUUCCUCUAUUUAAACACGUAACAGAGUCAUUAUGGAGGGUUGCAUGCAUCCAACAAGAUACGGUUUGUCUGUAAGAUAUAUUUCCUUUUGCCUAUCACAAAUGGGAUCAUACAAAAAAGUACAAAAUGCAAAGUGUUCUUAUUGCAGCGAGUAUUUAGAAAGAUAAGAGUUUUUCAACAUACACAAUUGGGUUUAUCAAAGGAAUGAGUCUGCAGAAAUGAUGUAGAAUUGAGAUUGUAAAUUCUCCUAGGUGUCUUUAAAAGCUCCAGCGUAAAACUCUGUGGCUUUAUUCACAUAUUUACACCUGAAGUAGCUCUACAAAAAGUUACUCUCUUUUCACCCAAUGUGAAAAGGUAAUUUAAGCAUUCUUAUGUGAAAAGGUAAUUUAAGCAAUCUUACGUUGUGCUCAUAUGGACCAGGAACACGGAUGAAAUGUGUUACUGCAACAUGGCUAUAGGAUGGCAAUUUUGUAAGAAGUGAAUAUUUAAACUUUGAUAUCAAGCAAGUAUUGUGAGUUGCGCUAAAUUUUCUGCGAUUUUGAUUACUUGAGAGUCUGGGGGAAAGCAUGACAAAUGCUGUUGCUGGGGAUGCUGCAGUAGAUCUUUUAAAAUAGAAGUAGCUGAUGAUACCCUACUAAAUGAAUUUUCUCUCUCUCUGAAAUGAAUGUUGUGCUUUACGUAAUAAUAAUUAGUGACACUCCUUUAGGACUCCUUGAUUUUUCUGCUGAAAACAAAUCUCAGGAGCGGUCAUCAGUAUCUCUUGUAUUGCAGUUGUGCCUAGAGGCUGGGUACCUGCCUGGCGAUACACAAAGAGAUUGUGGCUUCUUGUAUGAAUACUGGAACAAUCAUAUGCACUUGGCUUUCAGUAUCUCCCUUCUGAACAGUUUCCAGUGCUUUUCAGAAUCCUUUUUGAAAUGCAGAUGCCAGGCCAACAUGUCCAGCAGGUUGCCAUUCUGCAACAGAAAAUAG